Molecule: ribosomal RNA, 372 nt
Filed under: uncultured bacterium
Lineage: Bacteria
Description: bacterial SSU rRNA
Rfam family: Bacterial small subunit ribosomal RNA
Source: RNAcentral
UACGGAGGAUCCGAGCGUUAUCCGGAUUUAUUGGGUUUAAAGGGUGCGUAGGCGGACUAGUAAGUCAGUGGUGAAAUCCUGCAGCUUAACUGUAGAAUUGCCGUUGAUACUGUUAGUCUUGAGUACAUUUGAGGUAGGCGGAAUUUGUGGUGUAGCGGUGAAAUGCAUAGAUAUCACGAGGAACUCCGAUUGCGCAGGCAGCUUACUAAACCAUAACUGACGCUCAAGCACGAAGGCGUGGGGAUCAAACAGGAUUAGAUACCCUGGUAGUCCACGCAGUAAACGAUGAUUACUGGCUGUUUGCGAUAUAAUGUAAGCGGCUGAGCGAAAGCGUUAAGUAAUCCACCUGGGGAGUACGUUCGCAAGAAUGAA